CUGGACUCGGUGCAAGGCGCGAUCCGCUCCAGACAUGCAGUUCUCCUGGUGCACUAUGAGAGCUCACUGCCUCCGGCUUGGCCUGGCACCGCUGGUUCUGCUUUGCUGCCUGCCUCUGGCGCGCCCGGACCCCUGCGGCCUGAGCAUCGUGCCCAAGGACCCGGCGGUGGCGUUCGGGGGCCACGUGGUUCUGAACUGCAGCAGCUCAUGUUCCGGUCACACCCAGCUGGGCUGGGAGACGUCGGUGCUGAAGGUGCUGAAGACGGGACCCGGCUGGGCGUCCCUGAACAUCGCCAACCUCGCGGUGUGGGACCUGGAGCCCCAGUGCUACGUCUUCUCCACGGACAUCACCAAAAAAACCAGGCUCCACGUGUACCGUACGCCGAGGUUCCCCCCGCGCGCGCCCUCGCCCCUUCCCAGGGGCACGGCCCAGCGCUCCGCACGGGACAUGGGGCACGGGGAGGGGAAGGACUUUCCCAAGGACUAGAAGUCAGGGCAAAGAGUAAAACCCAGGAGUCCAGAUUCCCAGCACCCUGCUCCCACCACCCGCCCCUGGGAACGGAACCCAGGAGUCCUGGCUCUCAGCUCCCACCACAGUCCCCUCCCCCCCCAGGAACGGAACCCAGGAGUCCUGGCUCUCAGCUCCCCCCACCCGCCCCUCCCCGAGCUGGGAAUGGAACCCCGGGGUCCCGCCCCCCCCCCCCCCCCCCCCCCCCCCCCCCCCCAGGAAUGGAACCCAGGAGUCCUGGCUCCCAGGGCACCAAGCAGAGUCUUUAGAAGAAGGCAGAGCUCCUGGCCCGUUAUAUGCAGGGAGACGCUUCAGGAAGGUUCAUUCCCCUUUGUUUCCCCCUCUCCCCCCUGCCCCCCAGGAUUCUCGCCCCCCGAGAUCCACCUGGGAGCCGAGAUGGUGGCCGGUCACCAGGAGCAAAUCACCUGCAACGUCUCCAGCCUUGUGUCCGACUCCAGCCCCACCGACAUCAACGUCACCCUGAGCAGCGGGGGCAGCACACUGAACGAGAGCCGCGGCAGCCCGGCCGUGGAGUACAGCUUCGUGGCGCGGCCCACGCAGCACGGGCAGGAGAUCGUGUGCCAGGCCUGGCUCCGGGUCGGCCACCAGGUGCUGAGUGAGAGUGCCAGGGCCGCCCUGCACGUCUGGGCCCUGCCCCACAGCGUGAAUGUCUCCGUGGAGCGGCCGGAGUUCGGGGUCGGCGCUAACUUCACGGUGCAGUGCAGCGCUGAGGGGAACCCCCCGCCCGAGCUGCGCUGGGAGCUGCCCUCCAAUGCCAGCGUGGAGCUGUCUGAGCACGGCCGGACGGUGACUGUGCCCUCGGCCCAGCUCGCCCACAAUGGGACCUACCGGUGCCUGGCACGGAACAAAUACGGGGCCAGCUCGGGGCACGUCGAUGUCCUCGUCAAAGGUCCCCCCAGGUCCUGGAUCGCGGUGGCCGCAGUGGUGCUGGGGGUGAUUGUGGUUCUCGGCGGCGCAGGCCUGGUAACGUGGCGGCUCGUGAGAAAACGCUUCAUGACGUCUUAGCUGCGGCCCGCGGCGGCCGCGGUCCAGGGCUUCCGCCCGCCUGCUUGCAACGGGGAGGGCGACUCAGGGAAGGGGGAAGCUCUGGGCAGUGAUGGGCCUGAACCUUUGGGUGAGGACAAGGAGGAGCCAAGAGGUGUCUGAGCCCGAGCCAUCGCCCCGGGGGACUGGUUCCAGAGGCGGGUGGGGUCACGGCUUGUUGCCAGAUGUGCCACGGCUGGUGGGCUGGGACCGAGCCAUGGAGCCAAACCGGGCUGCAGCUCUCUGGGGUAUCAAGCCCUGGUGCCUGUGUGUGUGUGUGCGUGCAUUUGUGCACGUGUGCAUGUGUGUGUGUGCAUGUGCAUGUGUGUAUGUGUGCGCGUGUACGUGUGUGUGUGUGCAUGCACAUGUGUGUGUGCGUUUGUGCACAUGUGCAUGUGUGUGCGUGCACGUGUGUGUGUGCGUGCAUUUGUGCAUGUGUGUGUGCGCGUGUGCACAUGUGUGCGUGUGCAUGUCUGGCACAACAGGGAGUGUGCAUAUUUCACCCAUUCCAAAAAGCUGAUUUUUUGAAAUUUGAAAUUGUUUCCUUUCGAACCAUGUGGAAGAAACACUUGGACAUUUCAGCUCUUUUCGGCUUUCCCCAGUUCCAGCCUUGUCCCUGUGCCCUGGCACUGUUACAUUUACAGGGAGUCCAGUCCAGACGCCCAGGUAACACCAUGCUCCCCCCGCCCCCAAUGGCUCACGUUGGUGCCGCUUGGUUUUGUUGGUCUCAAAUAAACUGUCUGCCUGGG
Long non-coding RNA from Chelydra serpentina (North American snapping turtle), 2301 nucleotides. The record is from Ensembl. NCBI's taxonomy places the organism in Eukaryota, Metazoa, Chordata, Testudines, Chelydridae.